GUGGGGAAUAUUGGACAAUGGGCGCAAGCCUGAUCCAGCCAUGCCGCGUGUGUGAAGAAGGUCUUCGGAUUGUAAAGCACUUUAAGUUGGGAGGAAGGGCAGUAAGUUAAUACCUUGCUGUUUUGACGUUACAGACAGAAUAAGCACCGGCUAACUUCGUGCGAGCAGCCGCGGUAAUACGAAGGGUGCAAGCGUUAAUCGGAAUUACUGGGCGUAAAGCGCGCGUAGGUGGUUUGGUAAGUUGGAGGUGAAAUCCCCGGGCUCAACCUGGGAACUGCCUCCAAAACUGCAUGCCUAGAGUACGGUAGAGGGUAGUGGAAUUUCCUGUGUAGCGGUGAAAUGCGUAGAUAUAGGAAGGAACACCAGUGGCGAAGGCGACUACCUGGACUGAUACUGACACUGAGGUGCGAAAGCUUGGGGAGCAAACAGGAUUAGAAACCCGAGUAGUCC
RNAcentral lists this ribosomal RNA (450 nucleotides) under uncultured bacterium. RNAcentral's name for it is "bacterial SSU rRNA". It matches the Rfam family "Bacterial small subunit ribosomal RNA", at positions 354 to 796 of the family's 1533-position model. The record is from RNAcentral.